GAUAGAACAACAGAGAGUGUAGUAACCGAGACACAGAGGAAGGAGACUUGAUGGAGUGAAUUAGGAGCAUUGCAUUGGAAUGGAAAGAGGCAGACAAACUAACAGAGACCACACAGCAAUCACGCCAGUCACAGACCAUCACCAAGAGGUGGCACUGUUAAACAGCAAACAGAGACAACGACGCCAACACAGGCGCUGACAACCAUCAAGUGAGGCAGCACGUCUGGAUUUGUUUGCUGCAUAGUGUUUGGAACUCUACUUGACUUUACUUUUUGCGCAUUAAGGACAUGUGAUGAACAGAAGCACAGGAGUGCCCUGUAUACCAGCUGACACACGCUAUGAAAUCAGAUAGAGCCGUUCAUUUUCAAGUUCACACAAAAUAGCUUACCAAACAUAUUGCAUGUAACCCUGGACUCAGGGAGACUUAUGUGUGAUGUGGCACUGAAUCUGUGUAAACGUAACAGUCGAAAUAUCUCUGUUCUCUGUGUUAUCCAGACUUCAGGGACAAUGUGUCUCUGUGGGAUGAUAUGAUUGACCCUAAAGCUGGAUAAAUAACAGGCUCACUCAGCUCUCCUCACUCAUUCGAGUGAUACAUGUAUCAGCGUAUGUGCGUUGCUGUGAGUCCUUCUGCAGAAGACUUGAAUAAAAUUCGGGGAAAGACAA
Long non-coding RNA from Micropterus dolomieu (smallmouth bass), 663 nucleotides. RefSeq lists it as uncharacterized. NCBI's taxonomy places the organism in Eukaryota, Metazoa, Chordata, Actinopteri, Centrarchiformes, Centrarchidae. The transcript has 2 exons. The record is from RefSeq and is a predicted model, not a curated record.